Molecule: ribosomal RNA, 253 nt
Filed under: uncultured bacterium
Lineage: Bacteria
Description: partial 16S ribosomal RNA
Rfam family: Bacterial small subunit ribosomal RNA
Source: RNAcentral
UACGUAGGGCGCAAGCGUUGUCCGGAAUUAUUGGGCGUAAAGAGCUCGUAGGCGGCUUGUCACGUCGGGGGUGAAAGCCCGGGGCUUAACCCCGGGUCUGCAUCCGAUACGGGCAGGCUAGAGUGUGGUAGGGGAGAUCGGAAUUCCUGGUGUAGCGGUGAAAUGCGCAGAUAUUGGGAAGAACACCUGAGGCGAAGGCGGGUUGCUGGGCCGACACUGACGCUGAUGCGCGAAAGCCAGGGGAGCGAACGGG